Molecule: ribosomal RNA, 254 nt
Filed under: uncultured bacterium
Lineage: Bacteria
Description: partial 16S ribosomal RNA
Rfam family: Bacterial small subunit ribosomal RNA
Source: RNAcentral
UACGUAGGGGGCAAGCGUUGUCCGGAUUUAUUGGGCGUAAAGAGCUCGUAGGCGGUUUGGUAAGUCGGGUGUGAAAUCUCCACGCUCAACGUGGAGGGGCCACUCGAUACUGCCAUGACUCGAGUCCGGUAGAGGAGUGUGGAAUUCCCGGUGUAGCAGUGAAAUGCGUAGAGAUCGGGAGGAACAUCAGUUGCGAAGGCGGCUCUCUGGACCAGCACUGACACUGAGGCACGAAAGCGUGGGGAGCAAACAGG